AGCGAACGCUGGCGGCAGGCCUAACACAUGUAAGUCGAACGAACUCUUCGGAGUUAGUGGCGGACGGGUGAGUAACACGUGGGAACGUGCCUUUUGGUUCGGAAUAACUCAGGGAAACUUGUGCUAAUACCGAAUGUGCCCUUCGGGGGAAAGAUUUAUCGCCAUUAGAGCGGCCCGCGUCUGAUUAGCUAGUUGGUGAGGUAACGGCUCACCAAGGCGACGAUCAGUAGCUGGUCUGAGAGGAUGACCAGCCACACUGGGACUGAGACACGGCCCAGACUCCUACGGGAGGCAGCAGUGGGGAAUCUUGCGCAAUGGGCGAAAGCCUGACGCAGCCAUGCCGCGUGAAUGAUGAAGGUCUUAGGAUUGUAAAAUUCUUUCACCGGGGACGAUAAUGACGGUACCCGGAGAAGAAGCCCCGGCUAACUUCGUG
This 433-nucleotide ribosomal RNA is filed under the name uncultured bacterium. RNAcentral's name for it is "partial 16S ribosomal RNA". It matches the Rfam family "Bacterial small subunit ribosomal RNA", at positions 29 to 507 of the family's 1533-position model. The record is from RNAcentral.